CGAGAGUCUGAACCAGCCAAGUAGCGUGAAGGAUGACUGCCCUAUGGGUUGUAAACUUCUUUUAUACGGGAAUAAAGUGAGCCACGUGUGGCUUUUUGUAUGUACCGUAUGAAUAAGGAUCGGCUAACUCCGUGCCAGCAGCCGCGGUAAUACGGAGGAUCCGAGCGUUAUCCGGAUUUAUUGGGUUUAAAGGGAGCGUAGGCGGGUUGUUAAGUCAGUUGUGAAAGUUUGCGGCUCAACCGUAAAAUUGCAGUUGAUACUGGCGACCUUGAGUGCAACAGAGGUAGGCGGAAUUCGUGGUGUAGCGGUGAAAUGCUUAGAUAUCACGAAGAACUCCGAUUGCGAAGGCAGCUUACUGGAUUGUAACUGACGCUGAUGCUCGAAAGUGUGGGUAUCAAACAGGAUUAGAUACCCUGGUAGUCCACACAGUAAACGAUGAAUACUCGCUGUUGGCGAUAUACAGUCAGCGGCCAAGCGAAAGCAUUAAGUAUUCCACCUGGGGAGUACGCCGGCAACGGUGAAACUCAAAGGAAUUGACGGGGGCCCGCACAAGCGGAGGAACAUGUGGUUUAAUUCGAUGAUACGCGAGGAACCUUACCCGGGCUUAAAUUGCAACUGACGGAAUCGGAAACGGUUCUUUCUUCGGACAGUUGUGAAGGUGCUGCAUGGUUGUCGUCAGCUCGUGCCGUGAGGUGUCGGCUUAAGUGCCAUAACGAGCGCAACCCUUAUCGAUAGUUACUAGCAGGUUAUGCUGAGGACUCUAUCGAGACUGCCGUCGUAAGAUGUGAGGAAGGUGGGGAUGACGUCAAAUCAGCACGGCCCUUACGUCCGGGGCUACACACGUGUUACAAUGGGGGGUACAGAAGGCAGCUACACGGCGACGUGGU
This 887-nucleotide ribosomal RNA is filed under the name human gut metagenome. Its description in RNAcentral is "bacterial SSU rRNA". It matches the Rfam family "Bacterial small subunit ribosomal RNA", at positions 376 to 1266 of the family's 1533-position model. The record is from RNAcentral.